AAAUUGAAGAGUUUGAUCAUGGCUCAGAUUGAACGCUGGCGGCAGGCCUAACACAUGCAAGUCGAACGGUAGCACAGAGAGCUUGCUCUUGGGUGACGAGUGGCGGACGGGUGAGUAAUGUCUGGGAAACUGCCUGAUGGAGGGGGGUAACUACUGGAAACGGUGGCUAAUACCGCAUAAUGUCGCAAGACCAAAGAGGGGGACCUUCGGGCCUCUUGCCAUCAGAUGUGCCCAGAUGGGAUUAGCUUGUUGGUGAGGUAACGGCUCACCAAGGCGACGAUCCCUAGCUGGUCUGAGAGGAUGACCAGCCACACUGGAACUGAGACACGGUCCAGACUCCUACGGGAGGCAGCAGUGGGGAAUAUUGCACAAUGGGCGCAAGCCUGAUGCAGCCAUGCCGCGUGUAUGAAGAAGGCCUUCGGGUUGUAAAGUACUUUCAGCGGGGAGGAAGGUGUUG
This 457-nucleotide ribosomal RNA is filed under the name Salmonella enterica. RNAcentral describes it as "bacterial SSU rRNA". It matches the Rfam family "Bacterial small subunit ribosomal RNA", at positions 1 to 456 of the family's 1533-position model. RNAcentral also lists the same sequence under 1 other name. The record is from RNAcentral. Lineage: Bacteria; Pseudomonadati; Pseudomonadota; Gammaproteobacteria; Enterobacterales; Enterobacteriaceae.